Molecule: ribosomal RNA, 302 nt
Filed under: Faughnia profunda
Lineage: Eukaryota; Metazoa; Arthropoda; Malacostraca; Stomatopoda; Parasquillidae
Description: partial 12S ribosomal RNA
Source: RNAcentral
CCAGGGUAGUAUAUAGUUAUUAUCUCGAAACCCAAAGAGUUUGGCGGUACUUUAGUCUAGUUAGAGGAGCUUGUUCGGUAAUUGAUAAUCCUCAAAAAAUCUUACGCAUUCUUGUAAACAGUUUAUAUACCGUCGUUAUUAGAUAAUGUUAAAAGGCAUUUAAUUAUCUAAAUAUAUUUGAUUUAUAAUAUAUCAGAUCAAGGUGUAGCUGAUGAAUGUGAGUUGAAUGAGCUACAUUUUAUUUUAUGAAUAACGGAAAUUGGUUUUAAAUAGUCAAUAAAAGGUGGAUUUAAUUGUAAUCG